ACUCAACUAUUGCAACAACCUACUGCUCCGCAGAUCCUCAGCUGCUUCCGACACAAGUUACAGACCAUCCAGAACUCUGCAGCGUGUGGCAUCUCCUGGAGCAGGCUCUAUGUGCCAUCAGUUGCCAGUACAGUUGUGAAGACUGACCAAGAUAAUUUACAGCUGAAAUGUAAUGCAGAUGCUAAUCCUCCAUCUACAGGAAUCAGAUGGACAAGAAUGAAUGAUACAAACCCAAUAUUCAACAAAGUACAAGACGAUAGCAUGCUGAAGGUGCCUAUUUUGACUUCUGACAAUAACAGGCUCUACAUGUGUGAAACCAGCAACAUAAUCGGCUCUGCUAAAAGUUCAAUAUAUCUGCAUCAAUGUGAACCCCAACAACGGCUACACAUUAUAGUUUACAUUAUAAUUGUGCUCCUUGUUACUGUAAUAGCUGCUCUCAGCUUUCUUCUUAUCCGUAAGAAAAUUUGCCUCAACAAGCAAUGAAGUACGGUUGGAUAUGUACUUAUGAAUGCAACAAUUUUACACAUCGCAUCUCUUAACAAAGUUGGAAUUUUUCUGGGGAAAGCCUAAUCAAUGCAAAUGUAAUAACUCUUCUGGCAAGAAACUAACAAAAGCAUUAUAUGUUUUGAAAAUAUUAAUAAUAUUUUAUUAUUUAUUUUAUUUUGUUAAUACAAUAUAAAGCAGGAAAAGAAACAAGGACAUGAAAGGGACAGAGUAUAAAAUUAGGAAUUUUGAUUUUGAUGGAGAAUGAUGAAUGUAUAUUCCUUUUUCUCCAACCCAAUAAAAAAACAGUCUAUUUAAUACGCAUGUCUCUGACUCCCAUCGUAAUGCACUUGCCUCUAACUAUUAAAUGCUGUUGCUGCUCACCUUAGUUAACUGAGCCAGAGGGUAAACAUGUUGUGCUUGGCUCCUAUCUCUACUGGCUGUGUUAUGGUUAAAAUUUUAUUUGAGUGUUCUUUUGCAUUGUUCGCUUAUUACAGACAGUAUUUAUUGGGAACCUCUUCUGGGCAAAUCCAAAGUAUCAUUCCCUCUCCUGUCUUGUUAUUUACAUCAGGUUUUGAAAUUUCAAUUAAAAUAAUUAUUAUUAUUCAAUUAAAAUACGCCUGAUUCAAAUAAAAUGAAAUCAGUGUUUAAUCCAACGAGUCUACUUAUUUAUAUUCUUCACACACCUUAAUCUAAGAACAUUUGAAAGUCUUUACAAAUUGUAACAUUCUUCUCUCUAAAUUCUGCCAAUCACUAUUACUGUGUAGCAGCACAGCAUAAUCAGACUAGUGUUGUUGGGUAUCUCUGCCACUAGAGGGUCACAUCGUGGAACGUGAAAUUACCAAAACCUCUUACUUCUUUCGCUUUGCUUUUAAAUGAACUAAUGGGCCUCCAUAU
Callorhinchus milii (elephant shark) is the source of this 1380-nucleotide long non-coding RNA. RefSeq lists it as uncharacterized. The record is from RefSeq and is a predicted model, not a curated record. Lineage: Eukaryota; Metazoa; Chordata; Chondrichthyes; Chimaeriformes; Callorhinchidae. The transcript has 4 exons.